RNAcentral lists this ribosomal RNA (253 nucleotides) under uncultured bacterium. RNAcentral describes it as "partial 16S ribosomal RNA". It matches the Rfam family "Bacterial small subunit ribosomal RNA", at positions 524 to 776 of the family's 1533-position model. The record is from RNAcentral.
UACGAAGGGGGCUAGCGUUGCUCGGAAUGACUGGGCGUAAAGGGCUCGUAGGCGGCCAACUAAGUCAGACGUGAAAUCCCUCGGCUUAACCGGGGAACUGCGUCUGAUACUGGAUGGCUAGAGUGUGGGAGAGGGAUGCGGAAUUCCAGGUGUAGCGGUGAAAUGCGUAGAUAUCUGGAGGAACACCGGUGGCGAAGGCGGCAUCCUGGACCGGCAUUGACGCUGAGGCGCGAAAGCCAGGGGAGCAAACGGG